This 465-nucleotide ribosomal RNA is filed under the name uncultured bacterium. RNAcentral's name for it is "partial 16S ribosomal RNA". It matches the Rfam family "Bacterial small subunit ribosomal RNA", at positions 338 to 795 of the family's 1533-position model. The record is from RNAcentral.
CCUACGGGUGGCAGCAGUGGGGAAUAUUGCACAAUGGGCGAAAGCCUGACGCAGCGACGCCGCGUGAGGGAUGAAGGUCUUCGGAUCGUAAACCUCUGUCAGCAGGGAAGAACGGUCACUGUGCUAAUCAGCAGUGAAUUGACGGUACCUGCAAAGGAAGCACCGGCUAACUCCGUGCCAGCAGCCGCGGUAAUACGUAGGGUGCGUGCUUUAAUCGGAAUUACUGGGCGUAAAGCGCUCGUAGGCGGGAUUGCAAGUCACGGGUGAAACCCCAGCGCGCAACGUGGGAACUGCCUUUGAAACUGGCAAACUGGAGUGUGUGAGAGGAAAGUGGAAGUCCAGGUGUAGGAGUGAAAUGCGUAGAUAUCUGGAGGAACAUCAGUGGCGAAGGCGACUAUCUGGCACAUAACUGACGCUGAGGAGCGAAAGCGUGGGUAGCAAACAGGAUUAGAUACCCUUGUAGUC